RNAcentral lists this ribosomal RNA (253 nucleotides) under uncultured bacterium. RNAcentral's name for it is "partial 16S ribosomal RNA". It matches the Rfam family "Bacterial small subunit ribosomal RNA", at positions 524 to 776 of the family's 1533-position model. The record is from RNAcentral.
UACGUAGGGUGCGAGCGUUGUCCGGAAUUAUUGGGCGUAAAGAGCUCGUAGGCGGCUUGUCGCGUCGGAUGUGAAAGCCCGGGGCUUAACUCCGGGUCUGCAUUCGAUACGGGCAGGCUAGAGUUCGGUAGGGGAGAUCGGAAUUCCUGGUGUAGCGGUGAAAUGCGCAGAUAUCAGGAGGAACACCGGUGGCGAAGGCGGAUCUCUGGGCCGAUACUGACGCUGAGGAGCGAAAGCCAGGGGAGCAAACGGG